Hypanus sabinus (Atlantic stingray) is the source of this 1863-nucleotide long non-coding RNA. RefSeq lists it as uncharacterized. The transcript is spliced from 2 exons. The record is from RefSeq and is a predicted model, not a curated record. Lineage: Eukaryota; Metazoa; Chordata; Chondrichthyes; Myliobatiformes; Dasyatidae.
UCAUUAAGGGAUCAGCAGUGGAAGGGGUGAGCAGUUUCAAAUACCUGGCUGUCAACAUCGCUGAAGAUCUAUCCUGGGUCCAACUCAUUGAUGAAAUAACAAGGAAAGAACAUUAGAGAUUAAAUUUCAUCGGGAGUUUGAGAUGAUUUGGUGUUUCACCAAAUACUCUAGCAAAUUUCUACAGAUGUACCAUGGAGAGCAUUCGAUGUGGUUGCAUCACCGUCUGGUACAGACAGGCCACUGCACAGGAUCAGAAAAAGCUGCAGAGUUGCAAACUCAGCCAGCUCCAUCACGGGCACCAUCUUCCCCAGCAUUGAGGACAUCUUCAAAAGGCAAUGUCUCAAAAAGCCACAUCACACAGGACAUGUUCUCUUCUUAUUACUACCUUCAGAGAGGCGGUACAGGAGCCUGGAGACACACACUCAACAUUUCAGGAACAGCUUCUUCCCCUCUGCCAUCAGAUUUCCGAACAAUGAAGCAACUUAUGAACACUAGCUCCUACUUUUGCUCUGGAUUUGCAUGAGUUAUAUAAACAUGCAUCUUAUUGUAAUUUAUGAUGUUUAUGUGUUACACUGUACUGCUGCCACAACACAACAAAUGUCAGUGAUAUUAAACCUGCUUCUGAUACUGAUGGGAGUGAAGGCAGAAACUAGUUGAGUCUGACGAUCUGAUAUACCUGACUGUAGGUGACUGGACCAGGCCCAACUGCUGUCACUGGGAAACAACAGUUCCUGAGAAAGAGUUUGGGAUUGGGUGAUGAACAGAAAAGUGAAGGGAAAGUAAAGAGAGAGGAACAUAGAGAGAGAGUGAAGACAGAAGAGGAUAAUAACAUGGUGGGAGAGAAUGAUAUAGAGAGGGAGUGAUGAGAGGGGUGACAAAGAGGAAAUGAGGGGGAAAUGAUGUGGAUAUGCAGAGUGUGGGGGGAACAGGAGAGUGCAAGUCCGAGGAAGAGAUAAAGAGAGUGGGAGAGGAACAUGGUGAAGGAAAGGAAGCCGAAUAGAUUUUGUUUCUCUCCCGUGACUCUGGUACUACACAGAUUUAAAUGAAACGUACAGCGCAGGAGCAGAUUCAGACCAAUUAUUUCAUGCCAUUGUUUAUUUUCUGCAUGAACCUCCAGUCACUCCAUCUUUGUCCAACUGGGUUAACUUUUCCUUCUGUUCCCUUUCCCCACAUUUACUUCUGUGGGACAGAUCCACAUUCUCCCCACUCUCUGGAUAAAUAAUCCAAACUGGAUGAUUAGUGAAUAUUUACAAUAGUUUUAAUCCCCCUGAAGACUGAACCACUGUUCUCCUCCACCCUAUCAGGUAAUUUUAUUAUCUGUGAGGUGGAAAUAUGCUUUACCCUUCAACCUUCUCAUGACCCUCAUGACAGGGUGAAUUUGAGCAUCUAAACCAUUCAUGUAUUACUAAUGAGGUUAAAAAUGUGUCCCUGUUUCCACAGGAAAGAGCCCGAAAGUUGAAUCCAGUACAUUCCAGCAUCAAGGAGACUGUGUUCCUGCUGGGAGAAUUUCAUGGGACUGGGUUCACGUUUACCAUACAGAAUGAAAUGAAAUGAAUCAAAAUCAAAGGUCAAAAGACACAGAGACAGCAAGACCCUCUCCUCAUUACAGAGCAUUUGCCACGUGUCAGAAAUGGGCUCACUGUAAUGAUGAUUGAGUGUUACUGAUUGAUUUAUUGAUUAUGUUAUGGGAAUGAGCAGUUCAAAUGUACGUACACCUGCACUUUAUGUUCUGAAGCAGUUGGGAGACUGCCACCAACUACUUAAAGUGUGUUUGCUCAGACUGAGCACUAAGGUCCAUCUUGGUGAUCAGAUAAUUGUGAAUUGUCAUCAAUAAAGUGAAAAAGAAGGAGAAACUAAAAGAUG